AUGGACCACGCGUACACUUCCGGUUCCUCCGCGCCGUCCACACCCACCUGACGACUGCUCGCCAGGUUCUAUCAGCC
Molecule: small RNA, 77 nt
Filed under: Xanthomonas dyei
Lineage: Bacteria; Pseudomonadati; Pseudomonadota; Gammaproteobacteria; Lysobacterales; Lysobacteraceae
Description: sX9 sRNA
Rfam family: Xanthomonas sRNA sX9
Source: RNAcentral